AGAGUUUGAUCAUGGCUCAGGACGAACGCUGGCGGCGCACCUAAUGCAUGCAAGUCGAGCGACGCAUAUCGGAGGAGUAAUCCACUGAUAUGACGGAGCGGCGAACGGGUGAGUAUCACGUGAGAAACCUGCCCCGAAGACCGGGAUAGCCCGGGGAAACCCGGAUUAAUACCGGAUACCCUCUACAGAUCGCAUGGUCUGUUGAGGAAAGGCCUUUGCGCUUCGGGAUGGUCUCGCGACCUAUCAGCUAGUUGGUGAGGUAACGGCUCACCAAGGCAACGACGGGUAGCUGGUCUGAGAGGACGAUCAGCCACACUGGGACUGAGACACGGCCCAGACUCCUACGGGAGGCAGCAGCAGGGAAUCUUGUCCAAUGGGCGCAAGCCUGAGACAGCGACGCCGCGUGGGGGAUGAAGGCCUUCGGGUUGUAAACCCCUUUCAGGAGGGACGAAAUUGACGGUACCUCCAGAAGAAGCCCCGGCCAACUACGUGCCAGCAGCCGCGGUAAUACGUAGGGGGCGAGCGUUGUCCGGAAUUAUUGGGCGUAAAGGGCUCGUAGGCGGCUUGGCAAGUCGGCCGUGAAAGCCCGGGGCUUAACCCCGGGAUGCCGGUCGAUACUGCCAUGGCUUGGGUCCGGUAGAGGAGAAUGGAAUUCCCGGUGUAGCGGUGAAAUGCGCAGAUAUCGGGAGGAACACCAGUAGCGAAGGC
This 708-nucleotide ribosomal RNA is filed under the name uncultured bacterium. RNAcentral's name for it is "bacterial SSU rRNA". It matches the Rfam family "Bacterial small subunit ribosomal RNA", at positions 8 to 722 of the family's 1533-position model. The record is from RNAcentral.